CCACAUCAUGGAAGCCCGCUGCACCCGAAGUCGCCGCGUCAACUGCAAGGAGACAGGCGCCGAAGGUAUGGCUGGUGACUGGGAUG
RNAcentral lists this ribosomal RNA (86 nucleotides) under uncultured bacterium. RNAcentral's name for it is "partial 16S ribosomal RNA". The record is from RNAcentral.